Molecule: long non-coding RNA, 641 nt
Filed under: Arachis ipaensis
Lineage: Eukaryota; Viridiplantae; Streptophyta; Magnoliopsida; Fabales; Fabaceae
Description: long non-coding RNA (AIPA_LNC000759)
Source: RNAcentral
GAGAGAGAGGCUUAUUAGCUUCUUUUUGUUUUGCGAAUUCUUGUUGGGGCGGCACAGACACAUCAUCAGAUCCAGACAUUAUUCUUUCAAUUCUAAUCAAUCAUAUAUCGUGUCAUCGGAUACACUCAACCGCACUAGCUGCGUGCUAUAAAUACGGUGCUGACUGCUUCAUAUAUAUGUAUAUAUAUCGUUGCAUUGGAUACAUAUAUAGAUAUAGAUCGAUGAGGAUGAGCGUGUUGAUGAGGAGAAUAAUUGUGGUUUGCAAUUUGUGUUGUGUGUUGUUGGUUCUAAUGAUGAGUGUACGGUGUGAGGCACGGCCUCUGAUACGACGUCGUGUAAUCAUUGGAGAAGCUGGACAGUCACAGUAUCAUGACAACCUCCGAUUGAGCCCUGGGGGACCCGAUCCCCAUCAUCAUUAGCACUCAUCAUUCUUAAACUUUCAUGUAUUUUACUUCAAACUUUCCACUUUAUAUGUACCAUCAUUUCGCUCAGCAAUAACAUUUAAUUACGUGAAAGAUGUGAUUUGUAGUCAUUAAGUAGCUAUUAAUGAUUUAUUUAAUGGUAUAAGAUUUUAUCUAAUAAUGUGAAAUUAUUUAUUUUUUUUGCUGGUUACAUACUAGUCAAAAUUUAAUAAAAUUACU